AAUGAACGUUGGCAGCGUGGAUUAGGCAUGCAAGUCGAGCGACAAGGCCCUUCGGGGCUGGAGGAGCGGCAAACGGGGUAGUAAGGCAUCGGAACGUACCCUCUUGUCCGGAAUAGCCGCGGGAAACUGCGAUUAAUGCCGGAUAAUCUCGAAAGAGCAAAGGUCCGCCGCGGGAGGAGCGGCCGAUGUGAUAUCAGGUAGUUGGCGGGGUAACGGCCCACCAAGCCAUCGACGUCUAGGGGAUGUGAGAGCAUGAUCCCCACCACUGGGACUGAGAUACUGCCCAGACACCUACGGGUGGCUGCAGUCGAGAAUCUUCGGCAAUGGGCGCAAGCCUGACCGAGCGACGCUGCGUGCGGGAUGAAGGCCCUUGGGUUGUAAACCGCUGUCAGAGGGGAUGAAAGCGAAAGCUUGACAGAGCCUCAGAGGAAGCGCGGGCUAAGUUCGUGCCAGCAGCCGCAGUAAAAC
RNAcentral lists this ribosomal RNA (468 nucleotides) under uncultured bacterium. Its description in RNAcentral is "bacterial SSU rRNA". It matches the Rfam family "Bacterial small subunit ribosomal RNA", at positions 29 to 526 of the family's 1533-position model. The record is from RNAcentral.